UCCGGUUUGUCACCGGCAGUCUCCGAUGAGUCCCCAACUAAAUGAUGGCAACUAGGGACAAGGGUUGCGCUCGUUGCGGGACUUAACCCAACAUCUCACGACACGAGCUGACGACAGCCAUGCAGCACCUGUAUCCCGGUUCCCGAAGGCACCAAUCCAUCUCUGGAAAGUUCCGAGUAUGUCAAGGGCAGGUAAGGUUCUUCGCGUUGCGUCGAAUUAAGCCACAUGCUCCGCUGCUUGUGCGGGCCCCCGUCAAUUCUUUUGAGUUUCAGUCUUGCGACCGUACUCCCCAGGCGGCGAACUUAACGCGUUAGCUUCGAUACUGCGUGCCAAAUUGCACCCAACAUCCAGUUCGCAUCGUUUAGGGCGUGGACUAC
RNAcentral lists this unclassified non-coding RNA (377 nucleotides) under uncultured Lysobacteraceae bacterium. RNAcentral's name for it is "uncultured Xanthomonadaceae bacterium contains 16S-23S intergenic spacer region". The record is from RNAcentral. Lineage: Bacteria; Pseudomonadati; Pseudomonadota; Gammaproteobacteria; Lysobacterales; Lysobacteraceae.